Molecule: ribosomal RNA, 471 nt
Filed under: uncultured bacterium
Lineage: Bacteria
Description: partial 16S ribosomal RNA
Rfam family: Bacterial small subunit ribosomal RNA
Source: RNAcentral
GACGAACGCUGGCGGCGUGCUUAACACGUGCAAGUCGAACGAUGAAGCCUAGCUUGCUAGGUGGAUUAGUGGCGAACGGGUGAGUAAUACGUGAGUAACCUACCUUUAACUCUGGGAUAAGCCCGGGAAACUGGGUCUAAUACCGGAUACGACCAAUCUCCGCAUGGGGUGUUGGUGGAAAGCGUUAUGUAGUGGUUAUAGAUGGGCUCACGGCCUAUCAGCUUGUUGGUGAGGUAACGGCUCACCAAGGCGACGACGGGUAGCCGGCCUGAGAGGGUGACCGGCCACACUGGGACUGAGACACGGCCCAGACUCCUACGGGAGGCAGCAGUGGGGAAUAUUGCACAAUGGGCGCAAGCCUGAUGCAGCGACGCCGCGUGAGGGAUGACGGCCUUCGGGUUGUAAACCUCUGUUAGCAGGGAAGAAGAGAGAUUGACGGUACCUGCAGAGAAAGCGCCGGCUAACUACGUG